This 254-nucleotide ribosomal RNA is filed under the name uncultured bacterium. Its description in RNAcentral is "partial 16S ribosomal RNA". It matches the Rfam family "Bacterial small subunit ribosomal RNA", at positions 524 to 776 of the family's 1533-position model. The record is from RNAcentral.
UACGUAGGGGGCAAGCGUUGCCCGGAAUUACUGGGCGUAAAGGGCGCUUAGGCGGCCCCGUAAGUUGAAUGUAAAAUCUCCCGGCUCAACUGGGCGGGGGCAUUCAAUACUGAGGUGGUUUGAGGGCAGGAGAGGGAAGUGGAAUUCCCGGUGUAGCGGUAAAAUGCGUAGAUAUCGGGAGGAACACCAGUGGCGAAGGUGGCUUCCGGGUCCGGCCCUGACGCUGAGGCGCGAAAGCCAGGGGAGCAAACGGG